This 253-nucleotide ribosomal RNA is filed under the name uncultured bacterium. RNAcentral's name for it is "partial 16S ribosomal RNA". It matches the Rfam family "Bacterial small subunit ribosomal RNA", at positions 524 to 776 of the family's 1533-position model. The record is from RNAcentral.
UACGUAGGUGGCAAGCGUUAUCCGGAUUUAUUGGGCGUAAAGGGAACGCAGGCGGUCUUUUAAGUCUGAUGUGAAAGCCUUCGGCUUAACCGGAGUAGUGCAUUGGAAACUGGGAGACUUGAGUGCAGAAGAGGAGAGUGGAACUCCAUGUUUAGCGGUGAAAUGCGUAGAUAUAUGGAAGAACACCAGUGGCGAAAGCGGCUCUCUGGUCUGUAACUGACGCUGAGGUUCGAAAGCGUGGGUAGCAAACAGG